UUCAAAUUAAAAACAAGCACAGUUGCUAAUGUAUUUAUUUUAAUACUUUCAAGCAGCUGGGUUGCCAUUCUCCAAUGACCCGAAAUGCAGAUGCAUAACACAAACAUCUGCUAAAAUCAACCCAAAGACCUUCGAUCGCAUUGAGAUGAUUCCCAGAGGAGCGCGCUGUGGCAAGGUGGAGAUAAUAGUCACCUUGAAAAACAAACACAUUGUCUGUGUGAACCCUGAAGCAAAAUGGAUCCAACAUGUUAUUAAGGGCCUUAUACAGAGAAGAAACACCAACGAGCAACUGGAGCAGCACUGAAGCAAAUACAAAAGCAUGAAGAGACAUCAUUUUGUUCCCUGAUACUGCAGAACAAUCUACUUCUUUUAAUGAUC
Molecule: long non-coding RNA, 378 nt
Organism: Acipenser ruthenus (sterlet)
Lineage: Eukaryota; Metazoa; Chordata; Actinopteri; Acipenseriformes; Acipenseridae
Exons: 3
Source: RefSeq, a predicted model, not a curated record